Molecule: ribosomal RNA, 305 nt
Filed under: uncultured bacterium
Lineage: Bacteria
Description: bacterial SSU rRNA
Rfam family: Bacterial small subunit ribosomal RNA
Source: RNAcentral
UCCUACGGGAGGCAGCAGUGAGGAAUAUUGGUCAAUGGGCUUACGCCUGAACCAGCCAAGUCGCGUGAGGGAAGACUGCCCUAUGGGUUGUAAACCUCUUUUGUCAGGGAGCAAUUGGCGCUACGUGUAGCGUUAUCGAGAGUACCUGAAGAAAAAGCAUCGGCUAACUCCGUGCCAGCAGCCGCGGUAAUACGGAGGAUGCGAGCGUUAUCCGGAUUUAUUGGGUUUAAAGGGUGCGUAGGCGGAAUGCCAAGUCAGCGGUAAAAUCGCGGGGCUCAACCUAGCUCGGCCGUUGAAACUGGCGU